RNAcentral lists this long non-coding RNA (887 nucleotides) under Gossypium barbadense (sea-island cotton). RNAcentral's name for it is "long non-coding RNA (GBAR_LNC012967)". Lineage: Eukaryota; Viridiplantae; Streptophyta; Magnoliopsida; Malvales; Malvaceae. The record is from RNAcentral.
AAUAAUUCUUGUGACUGGAGGUUUGUCAAUGAAACCUAAUGGAAGCAGAAGAGUUAAAAUUUUUAACUAAAGGGAUCAGUGACUGCACAACAUCCACCAUUAGAGGUCGAUAAUCAGCAGCAAUGGCAGCCACCUGUGGAAAUAUUGUAAGUUUCAUCAGCAGCUUGGUGAAGGCAUUCAUUUGAUGAUAUGUUGAUUUAAAAACAUUAAUAAAUAUCAUAGAAGUAAACCUUACCUGAAUUAGAUCCUUCUUUGAAUACUGUCCUUGUAUAGCUGGAUCAACCAUUUCGUCAAUUUUCUCUCUGUUUGUUAACCUUGGAAGUGCCUGUUAAAUUAUCAACAAUAUCUAAGCUAUUUAUGGCAUUGAAAUUAGAGACUUAUUUUAAUUUCAAAAAGUUGAUCAUGUUCUAGUUGUCUUUUAAACCUUGCAGGUGCAAGGUUAAAUUGUAAAAAGCUAUACAUAUCCGACAGUUGUGUCCAAUACAUAAAACUAUAUAAGAGAUUCCGUAUCUGACACUAACCCAUGAAACAAGGACAUGUUCUCCAGGAGGCCUCUUGAUGUCAACCGGUACGCGGCCUGUUAAAAGCUGUAAAAGCACCACACCAUAGCUGUAGACAUCUGAUUUUGUGGUAAGUUUGCCUUUGGAAGCGUAUCUGCAGUGCCAAAAUUGAUGGACUGAAAAUUCAAGACCAAGUUUGUGCACAAAUAUUUGCUUAUUUAUUCUGAUAAUGAAACAGAUGCAUGAUGGAGCACUCACUCGGGAGCUAGAUAGCCGGUGGUUCCCAGCACGCGUGUCAAAAUCUGACCAUUGAUCUUGUCUGAGCCCAUUUUGGCCAAUCCAAAAUUGGAGACCUUGGCUCCAAGGUUUUCAUCGAGUAAUAUAUUG